UACGGGGGGGGCAAGCGUUGUUCGGAAUUACUGGGCGUAAAGGGCUCGUAGGCGGCCAACUAAGUCGGAUGUGAAAUCCCCAAGCUUAACUUGGGAACUGCAUCCGAUACUGGAUGGCUUGAAUCCGGGAGAGGGAUGCAGAAUUCCAGGUGUAGCGGUGAAAUGCGUAGAUAUCUGGAGGAAUACCGGUGGCGAAGGCGGGUUGCUGGGCCGACACUGACGCUGAGGCGCGAAAGCCAGGGGAGCGAACGGG
This 253-nucleotide ribosomal RNA is filed under the name uncultured bacterium. Its description in RNAcentral is "partial 16S ribosomal RNA". It matches the Rfam family "Bacterial small subunit ribosomal RNA", at positions 524 to 776 of the family's 1533-position model. The record is from RNAcentral.